GGAGUCUGGUCCGUGUCUCAGUACCAGUGUGGGGGACCUUCCUCUCAGAACCCCUACGCAUCGUCGCCUUGGUGGGCCGUUACCCCGCCAACAACCUAAUCAGACGCAUCCCCAUCCCAUAGCGGUGAACCUUUGGUAUUCUUCAGAUGUCAUCAAAAUACAACAUAGAGCAUUAAUCCGACUUUCGCCGGGCUAUUCUCUACUAUGGGGAAGGUUGGAUACGCGUUACUCACCCGUGCGCCGGUCGCCAUCAUCGGUUGCAAGCAACCGACAUGCUGCCCCUCGACUUGCAUGUGUUAAGCCUGUAGCUAGCGUUCAUC
RNAcentral lists this ribosomal RNA (320 nucleotides) under uncultured Prevotella sp. Its description in RNAcentral is "partial 16S ribosomal RNA". The record is from RNAcentral. Lineage: Bacteria; Pseudomonadati; Bacteroidota; Bacteroidia; Bacteroidales; Prevotellaceae.